AAGCUCGUAGUUGAAUUUCGGGGUUCUACCGUUGGUCGGGCUAACAAGUCUGUACUAGCGUGUAGAAUCCCUACCUUCUGGGGAACCAUCAUGUUAUUAAUUUAGCGUGGUGGGAAACCAGGACCUUUACCUUGAAAAAAUUAGAGUGUUCAAAGCAGGCCUACGUCUGAAUACAUUAGCAUGGAAUAAUAAAAUAGGACGGUGGUCCUGUUUUGUUGGUUUCUGAAUCACCGUAAUGAUUAAUAGGGAUAGUUGGG
RNAcentral lists this ribosomal RNA (257 nucleotides) under uncultured Scutellospora. RNAcentral describes it as "partial 18S ribosomal RNA". It matches the Rfam family "Eukaryotic small subunit ribosomal RNA", at positions 624 to 886 of the family's 1831-position model. Lineage: Eukaryota; Fungi; Glomeromycota; Glomeromycetes; Diversisporales; Gigasporaceae. The record is from RNAcentral.